GCCCCUAUGGUGGAACUGGUAUACACGGCUGACUUAAAAUCAGCUGCCGAAAGGAUUGUGGGUUCGAGUCCCACUGGGGGUACCG
RNAcentral lists this transfer RNA (85 nucleotides) under Arthrobacter sp. UCD-GKA. RNAcentral's name for it is "tRNA-Leu". It matches the Rfam family "tRNA". From Rfam's summary of the family: Transfer RNA (tRNA) molecules are approximately 80 nucleotides in length. The record is from RNAcentral. Lineage: Bacteria; Bacillati; Actinomycetota; Actinomycetes; Micrococcales; Micrococcaceae.